CAGCAGCCACGGUAAUACAGAGGGUGCAAGCGUUAAUCGGAAUUACUGGGCGUAAAGCGCGCGUAGGUGGUUCGCCAAGUUGGAUGUGAAAUCCCCGGGCUCAACCUGGGAACUGCAUCCAAAACUGGCGAGCUAGAGUAUGGUAGAGGGUGGUGGAAUUUCCUGUGUAGCGGUGAAAUGCGUAGAUAUAGGAAGGAACAUCAGUGGCGAAGGCGACCACCUGGACUGAUACUGACACUGAGGUGCGAAAGCGUGGGGAGCAAACAGGAUUAGAUACCCCUGUAGUCCCUGUCUCUUAUAC
RNAcentral lists this ribosomal RNA (301 nucleotides) under uncultured bacterium. RNAcentral describes it as "partial 16S ribosomal RNA". It matches the Rfam family "Bacterial small subunit ribosomal RNA", at positions 509 to 807 of the family's 1533-position model. The record is from RNAcentral.